UACGGGGGAUGCAAGCGUUGUCCGGAAUCAUUGGGCGUAAAGAGUUCGUAGGUGGUUUGUUAAGUUUGGUGUUAAAUUCCGGGGCUCAACUCCGGUCAGGCACUGGAUACUGGCAGACUUGAAUGCGGUAGAGGUAAAGGGAAUUCCUGGUGUAGCGGUGAAAUGCGUAGAUAUCAGGAGGAACAUCGGUGGCGUAAGCGCUUUACUGGGCCGUAGUUGACACUGAGGAACGAAAGCCGGGGUAGCAAAU
Molecule: ribosomal RNA, 250 nt
Filed under: uncultured prokaryote
Description: partial 16S ribosomal RNA
Rfam family: Bacterial small subunit ribosomal RNA
Source: RNAcentral